Molecule: long non-coding RNA, 410 nt
Filed under: Mytilus galloprovincialis (Mediterranean mussel)
Lineage: Eukaryota; Metazoa; Mollusca; Bivalvia; Mytilida; Mytilidae
Source: RNAcentral
UGGCGUGACCCUGCCAACCAACCAAAAUGGCCACCAUGGCUAAAAAUAGAACAUAGGGGUAAAAUGUACAUUUUGGCUUAUAUCUCUGAAACCAAGUAUUAAGAGCAAAUUUGACAAGGGAUAAUUUGUUUAUCUGGUCAAGAUCUAUCUGCCCUGAAAUUUUCAGACAAAACAGACACCCUGUUGUUGGGUUGCUGCCCCAGAAUUAGUAAUUUUAAGGAAAUUUUGCAGUUUUUGGUUAUUAUCUUGAAUAUUAUAAUAGAUAGAGAUAAACUGUAAACAGCAAUAAUGUUCAGCAAAGUAAGAUCUACAAAUAAGUCAACAUGACCAAAAUUGUCAAGUUACCCCUUAAGGAGUUGUUGCCCUUUAUAGUCAUUUUUUAACAAUUUUCAUAAAUUUUUGUAAUUUGU